RNAcentral lists this ribosomal RNA (253 nucleotides) under uncultured bacterium. RNAcentral's name for it is "partial 16S ribosomal RNA". It matches the Rfam family "Bacterial small subunit ribosomal RNA", at positions 524 to 776 of the family's 1533-position model. The record is from RNAcentral.
UACGUGGGGUGCAAGCGUUGUUCGGAAUUACUGGGCGUAAAGCGCAUGUAGGCGGCAGCGCAAGUCGGGCGUGAAAUCCCACGGCUCAACCGUGGAAGUGCACUCGAAACUGCGCAGCUAGAGUAUGGGAGAGGGUAGUGGAAUUCCCGGUGUAGCGGUGAAAUGCGUAGAUAUCGGGAGGAACAUCAGUGGCGAAGGCGGCUACCCGGCCCAAGACUGACACUCAGGUGCGACAGCGUGGGGAGCAAACAGG